This 74-nucleotide microRNA precursor is filed under the name Myotis brandtii (Brandt's bat). RNAcentral's name for it is "mir-9193 microRNA precursor family". It matches the Rfam family "mir-9193 microRNA precursor family". The record is from Rfam by way of RNAcentral. Lineage: Eukaryota; Metazoa; Chordata; Mammalia; Chiroptera; Vespertilionidae.
CUCGUGGAGAGGGGAUCCCUCAGCCCGGAUUGCGAGAGGGUGCAGGCCAGGCCGAGGGACCCCACCGGUGCACG